This 71-nucleotide transfer RNA is filed under the name Opeltia flavorubescens. Its description in RNAcentral is "tRNA-Gly (GCC) (tRNA-Gly-GCC-1-1)". It matches the Rfam family "tRNA". From Rfam's summary of the family: Transfer RNA (tRNA) molecules are approximately 80 nucleotides in length. Their secondary structure includes four short double-helical elements and three loops (D, anti-codon, and T loops). Lineage: Eukaryota; Fungi; Ascomycota; Lecanoromycetes; Teloschistales; Teloschistaceae. The record is from RNAcentral.
GAAUCUGUGGUUCAGGGGUAGAAUUCAUCGUUGCCAUCGAUGAGGCCGGGGUUCGAGUCCCCGCAGAUUCA